AAUAGCAUAUCAAUAAGCGGAGGAAAAGAAACCAACAGGGAUUGCCUUAGUAACGGCGAGUGAACUGGCAAAAGCUCAAAUUUGAAAUCUUGCAUUUUUGCAUGAGUUGUAAUUUGAAGAGGAUGUCUUUGGUUUUGCUUGGGGUUUAAGUCUCCUGGAAUGGAGCAUCAUGGAGGGUGACAAUCCCGUUUCUGGCUCCAAGUUAUAAGACCUUAUAAGACUCCUUCAAUGAGUCGAGUUGUUUGGGAAUGCAGCUCUAAAUGGGAGGUAAAUUUCUUCUAAAGCUAAAUACAAGCUAGAGACCGAUAGCGAACAAGUAGAGUGAUCGAAAGAUGAAAAGUACUUUGGAAAGAGAGUUAAACAGUAUGUGAAAUUGUUGGAAGGGAAGCAUUUGCAAUCAGAUCUGUGUUGUUGGAAUUCACCUACACAAUUAUUGUGCUUAGAGCAUUUUCCUUCAAUACUUGUCAACAUCAAUUUGAGUAGUGAUAAAAUCUUAGUCAAAAUGUAGCUCACUGAGUGUUAUAGUUGAUUUUGCUUGUCACUAACUUAGAUUGAGGAACGCGAUAGCAUGGAUGUUGACUUAAUGGUUGUAAGUGGCCCGUCUUGAAACACGGACCAAGGAGUCUAACGUUUACGCGAGUGUUUGGGUGUAAAGCUCAAGCGCAUAAUGAAAGUAAAUGUAGGUGGGAGAUUUUUCUUUGGAAAAUUGCACCAUCGACCGAUCUUGAAGUUUUCUGAUGGAUUUGAGUAUGAGCGUAAUUGUUGGGACCCGAAAGAUGGUGAACUAUGCCUGCUUAGGCUGAAGUCAGGGGAAACCCUGAUGGAGGGUCGCAGCGGUUCUGACGUGCAAAUCGAUCGUCAAAAGUGGGUAUAGGGGCGAAAGACCAAUCGAACCAUCUAGUAGCUGGUUCACACCGAU
Molecule: ribosomal RNA, 919 nt
Filed under: Gloeandromyces nycteribiidarum
Lineage: Eukaryota; Fungi; Ascomycota; Laboulbeniomycetes; Laboulbeniales; Laboulbeniaceae
Description: partial large subunit ribosomal RNA
Rfam family: Eukaryotic large subunit ribosomal RNA
Source: RNAcentral